Molecule: ribosomal RNA, 462 nt
Filed under: uncultured soil bacterium
Lineage: Bacteria
Description: bacterial SSU rRNA
Rfam family: Bacterial small subunit ribosomal RNA
Source: RNAcentral
UCGAACGGCAGCACGGGGGCAACCCUGGUGGCGAGUGGCGAACGGGUGAGUAAUACAUCGGAACGUGUCCUGUAGUGGGAGAUAGCCCGGCGAAAGCCGGAUUAAUACCGCAUACGCUCUACGGAGGAAAGGGGGGGAUCUUAGGACCUCCCGCUACAGGGGCGGCCGAUGGCAGAUUAGCUAGUUGGUGGGGUAAAGGCCUACCAAGGCGACGAUCUGUAGCUGGUCUGAGAGGACGACCAGCCACACUGGGACUGAGACACGGCCCAGACUCCUACGGGAGGCAGCAGUGGGGAAUUUUGGACAAUGGGGGAAACCCUGAUCCAGCAAUGCCGCGUGUGUGAAGAAGGCCUUCGGGUUGUAAAGCACUUUUGUCCGGAAAGAAAACUUCUGCCCUAAUACGGUGGGAGGAUGACGGUACCGGAAGAAUAAGCACCGGCUAACUACGUGCCAGCAGCCGCG